This 457-nucleotide ribosomal RNA is filed under the name uncultured Psychromonas sp. Its description in RNAcentral is "bacterial SSU rRNA". It matches the Rfam family "Bacterial small subunit ribosomal RNA", at positions 346 to 795 of the family's 1533-position model. Lineage: Bacteria; Pseudomonadati; Pseudomonadota; Gammaproteobacteria; Alteromonadales; Psychromonadaceae. The record is from RNAcentral.
GGGCUGCAGUGGGGAAUAUUGCACAAUGGAGGAAACUCUGAUGCAGCCAUGCCGCGUGUGUGAAGAAGGCUUUCGGGUUGUAAAGCACUUUCAGCGAGGAGGAAAGGGUAGCGGUUAAUAACCGUUAUCUGUGACGUUACUCGCAGAAGAAGCACCGGCUAACUCCGUGCCAGCAGCCGCGGUAAUACGGAGGGUGCGAGCGUUAAUCGGAAUUACUGGGCGUAAAGCGCGCGUAGGCGGUUAAUUAAGUCAGAUGUGAAAGCCCAGGGCUCAACCUUGGAACUGCAUUUGAAACUGGUUAACUAGAGUUUUGUAGAGGGUGGUAGAAUUUCAGGUGUAGCGGUGAAAUGCGUAGAGAUCUGAAGGAAUACCAGUGGCGAAGGCGGCCACCUGGACAAUAACUGACGCUGAGGCGCGAAGGCGUGGGGAGCAAACGGGAUUAGAUACCCCGGUAGUC